RNAcentral lists this ribosomal RNA (253 nucleotides) under uncultured Eubacteriales bacterium. RNAcentral describes it as "uncultured Clostridiales bacterium partial 16S ribosomal RNA". It matches the Rfam family "Bacterial small subunit ribosomal RNA", at positions 524 to 776 of the family's 1533-position model. The record is from RNAcentral. Lineage: Bacteria; Bacillati; Bacillota; Clostridia; Eubacteriales.
UACGUAGGGGGCAAGCGUUAUCCGGAUUUACUGGGUGUAAAGGGAGCGUAGACGGCUGAGCAAGUCUGAAGUGAAAGGCGGGGGCCCAACCCCCGGACUGCUUUGGAAACUGUAUAGCUAGAGUGCAGGAGAGGUAAGUGGAAUUCCUAGUGUAGCGGUGAAAUGCGUAGAUAUUAGGAGGAACACCAGUGGCGAAGGCGGCUUACCAAGCUACUUCUGACGUUGAGGCACGAAAGCGUGGGGAGCAAACAGG